This 254-nucleotide ribosomal RNA is filed under the name uncultured bacterium. RNAcentral's name for it is "partial 16S ribosomal RNA". It matches the Rfam family "Bacterial small subunit ribosomal RNA", at positions 524 to 776 of the family's 1533-position model. The record is from RNAcentral.
UACGUAGGGUGCAAGCGUUGUCCGGAAUUAUUGGGCGUAAAGAGCUCGUAGGCGGUUUGUCGCGUCUGCUGUGAAGACUCGGGGCUUAACCCCGAGCCUGCAGUGGAUACGGGCAGACUAGAGGUAGGUAGGGGAGAAUGGAAUUCCCGGUGUAGCGGUGAAAUGCGCAGAUAUCGGGAGGAACACCGGUGGCGAAGGCGGUUCUCUGGGCCUUACCUGACGCUGAGGAGCGAAAGCGUGGGGAGCGAAACAGG